Molecule: ribosomal RNA, 468 nt
Filed under: uncultured bacterium
Lineage: Bacteria
Description: partial 16S ribosomal RNA
Rfam family: Bacterial small subunit ribosomal RNA
Source: RNAcentral
GACGAACGCUGGCGGCGUGCUUAACACAUGCAAGUCGAACGGAAAGGCCCUGCUUUUGUGGGGUGCUCGAGUGGCGAACGGGUGAGUAACACGUGAGUAACCUGCCCUUGACUUUGGGAUAACUUCAGGAAACUGGGGCUAAUACCGGAUAGGAGCUCCUGCUGCAUGGUGGGGGUUGGAAAGUUUCGGCGGUUGGGGAUGGACUCGCGGCUUAUCAGCUUGUUGGUGGGGUAGUGGCUUACCAAGGCUUUGACGGGUAGCCGGCCUGAGAGGGUGACCGGCCACAUUGGGACUGAGGUACGGCCCAGACUCCUACGGGAGGCAGCAGUGGGGAAUAUUGCACAAUGGGUGGAAGCCUGAUGCAGCAACGCCGCGUGCGGGAUGACGGCCUUCGGGUUGUAAACCGCUUUCGCCUGUGACGAAGCGUGAGUGACGGUAAUGGGUAAAGAAGCACCGGCUAACUACGUG